CCUACGGGAGGCAGCAGUGGGGAAUAUUGGUCAAUGGGCGCAAGCCUGAACCAGCAACGUCGCGUGAAGGAUGAAGGCUUUCGGGGUGUAAACUUCUUUUAAGAUGGAAGAGCAGUAGACGGUACCUCUUGAAUAAGACACGGCUAACUACGAACCAGCAGCCGCGGUAAUACGUAGGUUGCAAGCAUUAUCCGGAUUUACUGGGUGUAAAGGGAGUACAGCCGGGAAGGUAAGUCAGGUGUGAAAUUCAGCGGCUCAACCGUAGAACUGCAGUUGAUACUGGCUUCCUUGAGUACCGGAGAGGUAGUCGGAAUUCGUGGUGUAGCGGUGAAAUGCGUAGAUAUAACGAAGAACACCAGUUGCGAAGGCGGAUGACUGGACGGCAACUGACGGUGAGGCGCGAAAGUGUGGGGAGCAAACAGGAUUAGAUACCCCAGUAGUC
Molecule: ribosomal RNA, 442 nt
Filed under: uncultured bacterium
Lineage: Bacteria
Description: partial 16S ribosomal RNA
Rfam family: Bacterial small subunit ribosomal RNA
Source: RNAcentral